This 497-nucleotide ribosomal RNA is filed under the name uncultured bacterium. RNAcentral's name for it is "partial 16S ribosomal RNA". It matches the Rfam family "Bacterial small subunit ribosomal RNA", at positions 28 to 507 of the family's 1533-position model. The record is from RNAcentral.
GAUGAACGCUGGCGGCGUGCCUAAUACAUGCAAGUCGAGCGAACAGACGAGGAGCUUGCUCCUCUGACGUUAGCGGCGGACGGGUGAGUAACACGUGGAUAACCUACCUAUAAGACUGGGAUAACUUCGGGAAACCGGAGCUAAUACCGGAUAAUAUAUUGAACCGCAUGGUUCAAUAGUGAAAGACGGUUUUGCUGUCACUUAUAGAUGGAUCCGCGCCGCAUUAGCUAGUUGGUAAGGUAACGGCUUACCAAGGCAACGAUGCGUAGCCGACCUGAGAGGGGGAGCGGCCAAACGGGAAAUGAGACACGGUCAAGACCCCUACGGGAGGCAGAAGAAGGGAAUAUUGGACAAGGGGGGAAAGCGGGAGGGAGCAAGGCCGCGGGGGUAAAGAAGGUCUUCGGAUCGAAAAACUCUUUUAUUAGGGAAAAAAAAAUGUGAAAGAAAAUAUGCCGGUUUUGACGUUACCAAAAAAAAAAGCAACGGCUAACUCCGGG